GCGAGGGGGUCGGGGACUCUCGGGGCACUCCCGAGGAAGUUCCGCCCACCGCACCGGGGCCGCGGUGCCGCAAGGCACCUCCCGAGAGGGAGGGCAACGGCGCAGAAACGACACGUCCCGGCGGGUAUGGGGAUGAAAGCGGCGAAGGGCCCGGCGACGGUGCCCGAGCUAACCCGCAGACGACCCGUCGGGGACCGGUGAAACGGCCGUCCCGCGGGGUGCAAGGCCGAGGGAGGGGCGAUGAGUUCCCGGUGGGAGCCCCGUGGUAGGCCGCUCAGUCGAAUGUCCCCUUGAGACAGAAGGCGGGCUACGACCCCCUCGC
Thermococcus sp. 5-4 is the source of this 322-nucleotide non-coding RNA. The record is from Rfam. Lineage: Archaea; Methanobacteriati; Methanobacteriota; Thermococci; Thermococcales; Thermococcaceae.